Molecule: small nuclear RNA, 319 nt
Filed under: Castor canadensis (American beaver)
Lineage: Eukaryota; Metazoa; Chordata; Mammalia; Rodentia; Castoridae
Description: 7SK RNA (ENSCCNG00000001110.1)
Rfam family: 7SK RNA
About the family: 7SK was discovered as an abundant small nuclear RNA in the mid-70s but a possible function has only recently been suggested. Two independent studies have found that 7SK RNA binds the CDK9/cyclin T complex (known as elongation factor P-TEFb).
Source: Rfam by way of RNAcentral
GGAUGUGAGGGCGAUCUGGCUGCGACAUCUGUCACCCCAUUGAUCGCCAGGGUUGAUUCGGCUGAUCUGGCUGGCUAGGCGGGUGUCCCCUUCCUCCCUCACCGCUCCAUGUGCGUCCCUCCCGAAGCUGCGCGCUCGGUCGAAGAGGACGACCAUCCCCGAUAGAGGAGGACCGUUCUUCGGUCAAGGGUAUACGAGUAGCUGCGCUCCCCUGCUAGAACCUCCAAACAAGCUCUCAAAGGUGAUGCUUUUCAAAUGUUGGAUUUCUUUCUCAUUAGAUAACAUAAUCUAUUUUAGGCCCUGAUCAGGGUCUUGUUAU